UACAGGGGGGGCAAGCGUUGUUCGGAAUUACUGGGCGUAAAGGGUUCGUAGGUGGCCAACUAAGUCAGACGUGAAAUCCCUCAGCUUAACUGGGGAACUGCGUCUGAUACUGGAUGGCUUGAGUGUAGGAGAGGAAUGCGGAACUCCGGGUGUAGCGGUGAAAUGCGUAGAUAUCUGGAGGAACACCGGUGGCGAAGGCGGCAUUCUGGACUACAACUGACACUGAGGAACGAAAGCCAGGGGAGCAAACGGG
Molecule: ribosomal RNA, 253 nt
Filed under: uncultured bacterium
Lineage: Bacteria
Description: partial 16S ribosomal RNA
Rfam family: Bacterial small subunit ribosomal RNA
Source: RNAcentral